Long non-coding RNA from Aricia agestis (brown argus), 180 nucleotides. RefSeq lists it as uncharacterized. NCBI's taxonomy places the organism in Eukaryota, Metazoa, Arthropoda, Insecta, Lepidoptera, Lycaenidae. The transcript has 3 exons. The record is from RefSeq and is a predicted model, not a curated record.
CGACGCUUCACUCUUGUGUCGCUCAUCAUAACAAGCAAAUUGACAUCAGCUGUAACUGCGACAUGGCGGGAGCAGGCGACGCUAACGGAGGCGGCGCAGUUCAGCCAAAUGCGCAUGCGCAUCCCAAAAAAUACGAGAAAAAGCCAAGCAGAGCGUUUUGGACCCAGCUGACACAGACUA